AUUGAACGCUGGCGGAUUGCUUUACACAUGCAAGUCGAGCGGCAGCGCGGCCUUCGGGCUGGCGGCGAGCGGCGAACGGGUGAGUAAUGCAUCGGAACAUGCCCAGUCGUGGGGGAUAACACUUCGAAAGAAGUGCUAAUACCGCAUACGUCCUGAGGGGGAAAGCGGGGGAUCGCAAGACCUCGCGCGAUUGGAGUGGCCGAUGUCAGAUUAGCUAGUUGGUGGGGUAAAGGCCUACCAAGGCGACGAUCUGUAGCUGGUCUGAGAGGAUGAUCAGCCACACUGGGACUGAGACACGGCCCAGACUCCUACGGGAGGCAGCAGUGGGGAAUUUUGGACAAUGGGGGCAACCCUGAUCCAGCCAUUCCGCGUGAGUGAAGAAGGCCUUCGGGUUGUAAAGCUCUUUCGGCAGGAACGAAACGGUGGGCUCUAACAUAGUCCGCUAAUGACGGUACCUGAAGAAGAAGCACCGGCUAACUACGUG
This 484-nucleotide ribosomal RNA is filed under the name uncultured bacterium. Its description in RNAcentral is "partial 16S ribosomal RNA". It matches the Rfam family "Bacterial small subunit ribosomal RNA", at positions 30 to 507 of the family's 1533-position model. The record is from RNAcentral.